GGCGUAUGCAGCUUUAUACGCGGGAAAAUGAAAGUUAGUUUACCUUGGUGCAUGUGCAUUGAUUCACAAGUAUCUACAAAAUGUUUUGGAGUGUUGCUUUCAACUGAGUCUAGAAGUAGAACCCGCCAAAAGAAAUUCGGGAGAAAAUACUUCCUGAAAAUGUAAAUUCCGUAUGCAAUCAAUUUGAACUUGACAAAGAGGGAAGAUUUAUAGUAAAAACGAGAAAAUUGGCAAACCGAGGAACAGAGUAGGUUUCUUUUGGUGGAAGUAAAAUAAAACUAGACCAGUAAAAGAUAUGAAAUAGAAGAAAAGAAAAAAAAAAGAAAUUGUAACUUCGAAUGCUUUGUUACACUUUGUGAACGGAUUUCUUUAGACUGUUGUUACCUAUAUAUUUCAGAAAGCUUAUUGGAUGUUCUUCAAAGAAAAUUUAUCGUAAACUUUGCCGGAUAUUGCACAGAGAGAUCCAUUUAUAUUCACUAUCGGAAAAGAUUUGUUCUGCAGUGCGUAUCUCAAUAAGCUAUGUAUUCUGCUUCUAAACAAAUGAAAUUUUUUAUUUGCUUUCGAAGAGAUGAAAUCUGGGCUGGAAAAA
Long non-coding RNA from Argiope bruennichi, 589 nucleotides. RefSeq lists it as uncharacterized. The transcript is spliced from 3 exons. The record is from RefSeq and is a predicted model, not a curated record. NCBI's taxonomy places the organism in Eukaryota, Metazoa, Arthropoda, Arachnida, Araneae, Araneidae.